CAAAAGCAGCUCAAGUGGUUCAGUCAGAUGAUAUAGCGGAGACAAAGAAAGAUAAAGAUGGUUCAACCUCUGAGGCAGAGAAGCUUUCUUCAAACUUGCUUGAUACAGACAAAACCGUGAAACCUAGAAAAG
Molecule: long non-coding RNA, 132 nt
Organism: Pistacia vera
Lineage: Eukaryota; Viridiplantae; Streptophyta; Magnoliopsida; Sapindales; Anacardiaceae
Exons: 3
Source: RefSeq, a predicted model, not a curated record